UACGUAGGGUGCGAGCGUUGUCCGGAAUUACUGGGCGUAAAGAGCUCGUAGGUGGUUUGUCGCGUUGUCCGUGAGAACUCACAACUCAAUUGUGGGCGUGCGGGCGAUACGGGCAGACUGGAGUACUGCAGGGGAGACUGGAAUUCCUGGUGUAGCGGUGGAAUGCGCAGAUAUCAGGAGGAACACCGGUGGCGAAGGCGGGUCUCUGGGCAGUAACUGACGCUGAGGAGCGAAAGCGUGGGGAGCGAACAGG
This 253-nucleotide ribosomal RNA is filed under the name uncultured bacterium. RNAcentral describes it as "partial 16S ribosomal RNA". It matches the Rfam family "Bacterial small subunit ribosomal RNA", at positions 524 to 776 of the family's 1533-position model. The record is from RNAcentral.